RNAcentral lists this ribosomal RNA (253 nucleotides) under uncultured bacterium. RNAcentral's name for it is "partial 16S ribosomal RNA". It matches the Rfam family "Bacterial small subunit ribosomal RNA", at positions 524 to 776 of the family's 1533-position model. The record is from RNAcentral.
UACGUAGGGUGCAAGCGUUAAUCGGAAUUACUGGGCGUAAAGCGUGCGCAGGCGGUUUUGUAAGUCUGUCGUGAAAGCCCGGGGCUCAACCUGGGAAUUGCGAUGGAGACUGCAAGGCUUGAAUCUGGCAGAGGGGGGUAGAAUUCCACGUGUAGCAGUGAAAUGCGUAGAGAUGUGGAGGAACACCGAUGGCGAAGGCAGCCCCCUGGGUCAAGAUUGACGCUCAUGCACGAAAGCGUGGGGAGCAAACAGG